UACAGGGGGGGCAAGCGUUGUUCGGAAUUACUGGGCGUAAAGGGUUCGUAGGUGGCCACCUAAGUCAGACGUGAAAUCCCUCAGCUUAACUGGGGAACUGCGUCUGAUACUGGGGGACUUGAGUGCAGAAGAGGAGAGUGGAAUUCCACGUGUAGCGGUGAAAUGCGUAGAGAUGUGGAGGAACACCAGUGGCGAAGGCGACUCUCUGGUCUGUAACUGACGCUGAGGCGCGAAAGCGUGGGGAGCAAACAGG
Molecule: ribosomal RNA, 253 nt
Filed under: uncultured bacterium
Lineage: Bacteria
Description: partial 16S ribosomal RNA
Rfam family: Bacterial small subunit ribosomal RNA
Source: RNAcentral